CAUAUCAAGUCAAAUCACUGGUUUUUGUACAAUCACCGAAGUUAAGCAAUGUCGAACCUGGUUACUACUUAGAUGAGUAACCACUUGGGAAUACCAGGUGCUGUAAG
Non-coding RNA from Acanthosepion pharaonis, 107 nucleotides. Lineage: Eukaryota; Metazoa; Mollusca; Cephalopoda; Sepiida; Sepiidae. The record is from the annotation of a GenBank genome assembly.